Hordeum vulgare subsp. vulgare (domesticated barley) is the source of this 136-nucleotide non-coding RNA. Lineage: Eukaryota; Viridiplantae; Streptophyta; Magnoliopsida; Poales; Poaceae. The record is from Rfam.
GAUGUACUCCCACCGUCCCGAAAUUCUUGUCUUAAGUUUGUCUAGAAAUGGAUGUAUCUAAAUACUAAAAUAUGACUAGAUACAUUCAUAUCUAAAGAAAUCUAAGACAAGAAUUUUGAGACGGAAGGAGUAGAUA